RNAcentral lists this transfer RNA (66 nucleotides) under human gut metagenome. It matches the Rfam family "tRNA", at positions 5 to 66 of the family's 71-position model. From Rfam's summary of the family: Transfer RNA (tRNA) molecules are approximately 80 nucleotides in length. The record is from RNAcentral.
GGUGUAGUUCAGUUUGGUAGAACGCUUGAUUUGGGAUCAAGAGGCCGUGAGUUCAAGUCUCGCCAC